GAUGAACGCUGGCGGCGUGCCUAAUACAUGCAAGUCGAGCGAACGGACGAGAAGCUUGCUUCUCUGAUGUUAGCGGCGGACGAGUGAGUAACACGUGGAUAACCUACCUAUAAGACUGGGAUAAUUUCGGGAAACCGGAGCUAAUACCGGAUAAUAUUUUGAACCGCAUGGUUCAAAAGUGAAAGACGGUCUUGCUGUCACUUAUAGAUGGAUCCGCGCUGCAUUAGCUAGUUGGUAAGGUAACGGCUUACCAAGGCAACGAUGCAUAGCCGACCUGAGAGGGUGAUCGGCCACACUGGAACUGAGACACGGUCCAGACUCCUACGGGAGGCAGCAGUAGGGAAUCUUCCGCAAUGGGCGAAAGCCUGACGGAGCAACGCCGCGUGAGUGAUGAAGGUCUUCGGAUCGUAAAACUCUGUUAUUAGGGAAGAACAUAUGUGUAAGUAACUGUGCACAUCUUGACGGUACCUAAUCAGAAAGCCACGGCUAACUACGUG
Molecule: ribosomal RNA, 497 nt
Filed under: uncultured bacterium
Lineage: Bacteria
Description: partial 16S ribosomal RNA
Rfam family: Bacterial small subunit ribosomal RNA
Source: RNAcentral